UGGGAUACCUAGUAGAGGAGCUCAAUGUGAAGAAUUAAUGAGCUUCACAGUACCAUAUGACCUGAGCUUGGAGGGGCGCAAUGAACCAUGGGCAAAGUCAUUUUUGCUCCGUAUGCAGGCAAAAUUGGAAACAUGCAAGCAAGUUUGGGGAUCUUUGAAAAUGGAGGUCAGUGGUUGUUAUCCACAAGCAAUUGUUUUGUAAUAAUUUCCUACUAUGCCAUCCAAAACAAAUACAGAAGACAAAAUUCUUUAGCAAGUACAGGUAGUGUUAUCGGGUUUUGGAAUUUUUAACUCAAUAUGAUUAGAGUACUCAAUUAAGGUUCUUAAAUAAGUGUCAACUUUGCUGCAGUUUGGGUAAGAACUGCAUUUGAACAAGUGUAAAUGUGCACUUAAUUGAUGUACGGUGAAUUCGGCAUUGCAUCUGUUCGUGUGUAGUCUGAUGCACAAUACUCCUAUAGAGCGUAUGCAUUCUUUCACAUUGAUAUUUCCCCCAAGUAGAAUGAAAUCUCUUUGAUGUCAA
This is a non-coding RNA of Coffea arabica (coffee), 520 nucleotides long. The record is from RefSeq and is a predicted model, not a curated record. NCBI's taxonomy places the organism in Eukaryota, Viridiplantae, Streptophyta, Magnoliopsida, Gentianales, Rubiaceae.